Molecule: ribosomal RNA, 253 nt
Filed under: uncultured bacterium
Lineage: Bacteria
Description: partial 16S ribosomal RNA
Rfam family: Bacterial small subunit ribosomal RNA
Source: RNAcentral
UACGGGGGGGGCAAGCGUUGUUCGGAAUUACUGGGCGUAAAGGGCUCGUAGGCGGCCAACUAAGUCGGACGUGAAAUCCCCAGGCUCAACCUGGGAACUGCGUCCGAUACUGGAUGGCUUGAAUCCGGGAGAGGGAUGCAGAAUUCCAGGUGUAGCGGUGAAAUGCGUAGAUAUUGGGAAGAACACCGGUGGCGAAAGCGCUCUGCUGGGCCUGCACUGACACUGAGGGACGAAAGCUAGGGGAGCGAAAGGG